Molecule: ribosomal RNA, 1393 nt
Filed under: uncultured bacterium
Lineage: Bacteria
Description: bacterial SSU rRNA
Rfam family: Bacterial small subunit ribosomal RNA
Source: RNAcentral
AGAGUUUGAUCCUGGCUCAGGAUGAACGCUAGCUACAGGCUUAACACAUGCAAGUCGAGGGGCAGCAUUUCAGUUUGCUUGCAAACUGGAGAUGGCGACCGGCGCACGGGUGAGUAACACGUAUCCAACCUGCCGAUAACUCGGGGAUAGCCUUUCGAAAGAAAGAUUAAUACCCGAUGGUAUAAUCAGACCGCAUGGUCUUGUUGUUAAAGAAUUUCGGUUAUCGAUGGGGAUGCGUUCCAUUAGGCAGUUGGUGAGGUAACGGCUCACCAAACCUUCGAUGGAUAGGGGUUCUGAGAGGAAGGUCCCCCACAUUGGAACUGAGACACGGUCCAAACUCCUACGGGAGGCAGCAGUGAGGAAUAUUGGUCAAUGGGCGCAGGCCUGAACCAGCCAAGUAGCGUGAAGGAUGACUGCCCUAUGGGUUGUAAACUUCUUUUAUAUGGGAAUAAAGUUUUCCACGUGUGGAAUUUUGUAUGUACCAUAUGAAUAAGGAUCGGCUAACUCCGUGCCAGCAGCCGCGGUAAUACGGAGGAUCCGAGCGUUAUCCGGAUUUAUUGGGUUUAAAGGGAGCGUAGGUGGACAGUUAAGUCAGUUGUGAAAGUUUGCGGCUCAACCGUAAAAUUGCAGUUGAUACUGGCUGUCUUGAGUACAGUAGAGGUGGGCGGAAUUCGUGGUGUAGCGGUGAAAUGCUUAGAUAUCACGAAGAACUCCGAUUGCGAAGGCAGCUCACUGGACUGCAACUGACACUGAUGCUCGAAAGUGUGGGUAUCAAACAGGAUUAGAUACCCUGGUAGUCCACACAGUAAACGAUGAAUACUCGCUGUUUGCGAUAUACAGUAAGCGGCCAAGCGAAAGCAUUAAGUAUUCCACCUGGGGAGUACGCCGGCAACGGUGAAACUCAAAGGAAUUGACGGGGGCCCGCACAAGCGGAGGAACAUGUGGUUUAAUUCGAUGAUACGCGAGGAACCUUACCCGGGCUUAAAUUGCAUUUGAAUAUAUUGGAAACAGUAUAGCCGUAAGGCAAAUGUGAAGGUGCUGCAUGGUUGUCGUCAGCUCGUGCCGUGAGGUGUCGGCUUAAGUGCCAUAACGAGCGCAACCCUUAUCUUUAGUUACUAACAGGUCAUGCUGAGGACUCUAGAGAGACUGCCGUCGUAAGAUGUGAGGAAGGUGGGGAUGACGUCAAAUCAGCACGGCCCUUACGUCCGGGGCCACACACGUGUUACAAUGGGGGGUACAGAAGGCAGCUACCUGGUGACAGGAUGCUAAUCCCAAAAGCCUCUCUCAGUUCGGAUCGAAGUCUGCAACCCGACUUCGUGAAGCUGGAUUCGCUAGUAAUCGCGCAUCAGCCAUGGCGCGGUGAAUACGUUCCCGGGCCUUGCACACACCGCCC